GAUGAACGCUGGCGGCGUGCCUAAUACAUGCAAGUAGAACGCUGAAGGAAGGAGCUUGCUCUUUCCGGUUGAGUUGCGAACGGGUGAGUAACGCGUAGGUAACCUGCCUGGUAGCGGGGGAUAACUAUUGGAAACGAUAGCUAAUACCGCAUAACAGUAGAUGUUGCAUUAAUACUAGUUGAAAGGGGCAGUUGCUUCACUAACAGAUGGACCUGCGUUGUAUUAGCUAGUUGGUGAGGUAACGGCCCACCAAGGCGAAGAUACCUAGCUGGGCUGGGAGGAGGACCCGCCACCCUGGGGCGGGGACACGGCGGAGACUCCUGCGGGAGGAAGCAGGGGGGAAUAUUGGACAACGGGGGAAAGAAGGAGCGUGCAAUACCGAGAGAGUGAGUAAGGCCAGAGGGUUGGAAAGGUAUUUUAGAAAGGAAGAUUAUGACGGUACCUGAAGAAAAAGCCCCGGCUAACUCCGUG
RNAcentral lists this ribosomal RNA (471 nucleotides) under uncultured bacterium. Its description in RNAcentral is "partial 16S ribosomal RNA". It matches the Rfam family "Bacterial small subunit ribosomal RNA", at positions 28 to 507 of the family's 1533-position model. The record is from RNAcentral.